ACCCGCACAAGCGGUGGAUGAUGUGGAUUAAUUCGAUGCAACGCGAAGAACCUUACCUACCCUUGACAUGUCCGGAACUUGCCAGAGAUGGCUUGGUGCCCGAAAGGGAAUCGGAACACAGGUGCUGCAUGGCUGUCGUCAGCUCGUGUCGUGAGAUGUUGGGUUAAGUCCCGCAACGAGCGCAACCCUUAUCAUUAGUUGCUACGCAAGGGCACUCUAAUGAGACUGCCGGUGACAAACCGGAGGAAGGUGGGGAUGACGUCAAGUCCUCGUGGCCCUUAUGGGUAGGGCUUCACACGUCAUACAAUGGUCGGUACAGAGGGUUGCCAAGCCGCGAGGCGGAGCCAAUCCCACAAAGCCGAUCGUAGUCCGGAUUGUUCUCUGCAACUCGAGAGCAUGAAGUCGGAAUCGCUAGUAAUCGCAGGUCAGCAUACUGCGGUGAAUACGUUCCCGGGUCUU
RNAcentral lists this ribosomal RNA (459 nucleotides) under uncultured Thiobacillus sp. RNAcentral's name for it is "bacterial SSU rRNA". It matches the Rfam family "Bacterial small subunit ribosomal RNA", at positions 919 to 1382 of the family's 1533-position model. The record is from RNAcentral. Lineage: Bacteria; Pseudomonadati; Pseudomonadota; Betaproteobacteria; Nitrosomonadales; Thiobacillaceae.